RNAcentral lists this non-coding RNA (101 nucleotides) under Thalassobacillus devorans. Its description in RNAcentral is "SAM riboswitch (S box leader)". It matches the Rfam family "SAM riboswitch aptamer (S box leader)". From Rfam's summary of the family: The SAM riboswitch is found upstream of a number of genes which code for proteins involved in methionine or cysteine biosynthesis in Gram-positive bacteria. The SAM riboswitch acts at the level of transcription termination control. Lineage: Bacteria; Bacillati; Bacillota; Bacilli; Caryophanales; Bacillaceae. The record is from RNAcentral.
UCUUAUCAAGAGAGGUCGAGGGUAUGGCCCGGCGACGCCUCAGCAACCUGUAUCAUACAAGGUGCUAAUUCCUGCAAGUUCUUUGAACUUGAGAGAUAAGA